RNAcentral lists this ribosomal RNA (206 nucleotides) under uncultured bacterium. RNAcentral's name for it is "partial 16S ribosomal RNA". It matches the Rfam family "Bacterial small subunit ribosomal RNA", at positions 568 to 774 of the family's 1533-position model. The record is from RNAcentral.
CGCGUAGGCGGUCUGAUAAGUCAGAUGUGAAAGGUACCGGCUCAACCGGUGACGUGCAUUUGAAACUGUCAGACUUGAGUAUUGGAGAGGCAAGUGGAAUUCCUAGUGUAGCGGUGAAAUGCGUAGAUAUUAGGAGGAACACCAGUGGCGAAGGCGGCUUGCUGGACAAAUACUGACGCUGAGGUGCGAAAGCGUGGGAGCGAACA